GUCGAGAAUCUUUCACAAUGGGGGCAACCCUGAUGGAGCGACGCCGCGUGGAGGAUAAGGUCUUCGGAUUGUAAACUCCUGUCAUGCGUGAACAAGGUUGCUUGGUUAAUACCUGGGCAAAUUGAUGGUAACGCAAGAGGAAGAGACGGCUAACUCUGUGCCAGCAGCCGCGGUAAUACAGAGGUCUCAAGCGUUGUUCGGAAUCACUGGGCGUAAAGGGUGCGUAGGUGGCGUGGUAAGUCAGAUGGGAAAGCCCGGGGCUCAACCUCGGAACUGCAUCCGAUACUGCCAUGCUAGAGUACUGGAGAGGUGACUAGAAUUCUCGGUGUAGCAGUGAAAUGCGUAGAUAUCGAGAGGAAUACCAAAGGCGUAGGCAGGUCACUGGACAGUUACUGACACUGAGGCACGAAGGCCAGGGGAGCGAACGGGAUUAGAAACCCGGGUAGUCC
Molecule: ribosomal RNA, 449 nt
Filed under: uncultured bacterium
Lineage: Bacteria
Description: partial 16S ribosomal RNA
Rfam family: Bacterial small subunit ribosomal RNA
Source: RNAcentral